GAUGAACGCUGGCGGCGUGCCUAAUACAUGCAAGUCGAGCGAACAGACGAGGAGCUUGCUCCUCUGACGUUAGCGGCGGACGGGUGAGUAACACGUGGAUAACCUACCUAUAAGACUGGGAUAACUUCGGGAAACCGGAGCUAAUACCGGAUAAUAUAUUGAACCGCAUGGUUCAAUAGUGAAAGACGGUUUUGCUGUCACUUAUAGAUGGAUCCGCGCCGCAUUAGCUAGUUGGUAAGGUAACGGCUUACCAAGGCAACGAUGCGUAGCCGACCUGAGAGGGUGAUCGGCCACACUGGAACUGAGACACGGUCCAGACUCCUACGGGAGGCAGCAGUAGGGAAUCUUCCGCAAUGGGUGAAAGCCUGACGGAGCAACGCCGCGUGAGUGAUGAAGGUCUUCGGAUCGUAAAACUCUGUUAUUAGGGAAGAACAAAUGUGUAAGUAACUAUGCACGUCUUGACAGUACCUAAUCAGAAAGCCACGGCUAACUACGUG
Molecule: ribosomal RNA, 497 nt
Filed under: uncultured bacterium
Lineage: Bacteria
Description: partial 16S ribosomal RNA
Rfam family: Bacterial small subunit ribosomal RNA
Source: RNAcentral